RNAcentral lists this ribosomal RNA (253 nucleotides) under uncultured bacterium. Its description in RNAcentral is "partial 16S ribosomal RNA". It matches the Rfam family "Bacterial small subunit ribosomal RNA", at positions 524 to 776 of the family's 1533-position model. The record is from RNAcentral.
UACGGAGGGGGCUAGCGUUGUUCGGAAUUACUGGGCGUAAAGCGCACGUAGGCGGCUUUGUAAGUUAGAGGUGAAAGCCCAGGGCUCAACCCUGGAAUUGCCUUUAAGACUGCAUCGCUAGAAUUGUGGAGAGGUGAGUGGAACUGCGAGUGUAGAGGUGAAAUUCGUAGAUAUUCGCAAGAACACCAGUGGCGAAGGCGGCUCACUGGCCCGGUACUGACGCUGAGGUGCGAAAGCGUGGGUAGCAAACAGG